Molecule: transfer RNA, 76 nt
Filed under: Bdellovibrionales bacterium
Lineage: Bacteria; Pseudomonadati; Bdellovibrionota; Bdellovibrionia; Bdellovibrionales
Description: tRNA-Ala
Rfam family: tRNA
About the family: Transfer RNA (tRNA) molecules are approximately 80 nucleotides in length.
Source: RNAcentral
GGGGGUAUAGCUCAGCUGGGAGAGCGCUUCGCUGGCAGCGAAGAGGUCGCAGGUUCGAUCCCUGUUACCUCCACCA